GGUUCGGUGGUCUAGGGGUAUGAUUCUCGCUUAGGGUGCGAGAGGUCCCUGGUUCAAAUCCCGGCCGAACCC
This 72-nucleotide transfer RNA is filed under the name Caerostris extrusa. Its description in RNAcentral is "tRNA-Pro". It matches the Rfam family "tRNA". From Rfam's summary of the family: Transfer RNA (tRNA) molecules are approximately 80 nucleotides in length. Lineage: Eukaryota; Metazoa; Arthropoda; Arachnida; Araneae; Araneidae. The record is from RNAcentral. RNAcentral also lists the same sequence under 1 other name.